Cinara cedri is the source of this 337-nucleotide non-coding RNA. NCBI's taxonomy places the organism in Eukaryota, Metazoa, Arthropoda, Insecta, Hemiptera, Aphididae. The record is from the annotation of a GenBank genome assembly.
GAAUAAAAGUAUUUCUUUAGUGAAUAAAAAAAGUACCAUGAAUACCGUAUAAAACUCAUAUUAUUGGUUUGGUUGAUUGGGUUACCGCUGUAUACGCCGUAUACUGGGUUGAUCACGCAAAAAAGGAUCCUACUAGUUUUCCCGGGAUUGUGAUAAAAAUAAUUAUUACACCUGUGAUAACAAAAACAAAACAACAAACAAUCGGACAUCCUUUGCACAAUGGGUGGACUUCUGUAGUAGGUGAGAAAUUAAGAAGGUAGAUGUAUGCAACAAUUAAUCAUUGCUAACGAAAAACGAUUCUGAACGGAGUUCGGUUAUACAUAUUUUGAAAGGCUGU